GGGCUACGUAUGAGGGAAAUCAGAACUUACUUCUUGCAAGGCACUCGCUUUGAACACAAUUAGAUAUGGAGAAAGACGUUUGGUUUUGAAAUUUCCUACAUGAGGCAUUUGCCUCAAUGAAGUUACGGCCCUGUUAAAAUAAAUGUAAGGGAGGUUUCCUGAGACAAUAUACCUCAAGUUCAAUGAACCCAAUUUUCAGACAUUUCAAGUAUAUUUAAAUAAUAUUUAUGCUGUUAUUAUUAAAAAUUUGGGAAGUGUUUCCCGUCUUUUUUUGGGAAAAAGAUGAACUUAUGAAAAAUCUGGUGCUAUCUCAUGCUUUCGAUUAGACCGGCGGAGUUAUUUAUUUUCAAUACAUUGCAAGUCAGGUAAUCUAUUUUCAAACUACCACAGAACAAACCAUUUAUUUUUGUGAUUAUCAAGGCUGAGUUUUUUAUUUUC
Molecule: long non-coding RNA, 438 nt
Filed under: Mytilus galloprovincialis (Mediterranean mussel)
Lineage: Eukaryota; Metazoa; Mollusca; Bivalvia; Mytilida; Mytilidae
Source: RNAcentral